Molecule: microRNA precursor, 68 nt
Filed under: Agrilus planipennis (emerald ash borer)
Lineage: Eukaryota; Metazoa; Arthropoda; Insecta; Coleoptera; Buprestidae
Description: mir-2 microRNA precursor family
Rfam family: mir-2 microRNA precursor family
About the family: The miRNAs are transcribed as ~70nt precursors (modelled here) and subsequently processed by the Dicer enzyme to give a ~22nt product. In this case the mature sequence comes from the 3' arm of the precursor. The extents of the hairpin precursors are not generally known and are estimated based on hairpin prediction.
Source: Rfam by way of RNAcentral
CAACGCAUCAAUCUGGUUGUGAAUUCUUUUUUUUGAGCAAGAUAUCACAGCCACUUUGAUGAGCUUGG